CAACCAUAUACAGUCAUUGGCAACAACACAUUUCAUUUUUACGGGAACGAGCAUGGCGUGCACCCGAGAGACCAGGGGACCCUAAAUUGGUGCCAGUCCAGCGAACUAUUUUCUUAUUGCAAGAAAUACAUUUGACUGUAAAGAUUUGGACGGUGAUACCCCCGCAGCACCUGAUUUCGAGAACAGCUCGCCCCCGCGUCCACAUGUAUCUGGCAGAUGUACGCGAACAGGACUCCCAAGGAAUACAACUGCCCCAGUCUGCCUUAAAGAGCCAGGCAUGUGCUGGUGAGGCUCUCCCCACAACAGGCUGCCUCUCUGCUCUCUUAAGGUGGACCAGAAGAGAUGUGUUGCGUGUGUCUAGUACCUUGCAGUAACAAUGGACGGGAAAGAGUUAAUUCCCACGGUCUCUCCUCUAGCCUCUGUGAUCUCAUGGAAGGCUGUCCAGUGGAUAUGAGGAUCACUCUCUUCCCCAGAACACUUCUUAUACACCGCAUCUCAUCUAAUAAUAGGGUACACACACACACACAAACACACACACAACACCCCUCAUACAAAGGUAAAUUCAUAUGAGGUGUGUAUGAUGAGAGGUAGGAUUGAUCCCAAGCUGUACAAUACAUGACAACCUGUUAUGACUUGUUGACAGCAUACACAACACAUGACAUUAUGUUACAAUUGUGGAAUGAAUGAGAGGCCCUCACAUAGACUAUUGCUGCUCCAAGUGCUUUAUUCUUGCACCCAAAUACACUACGUUUCGACUUCACAGAAGACUUUGUCCGGUGUAUAUUACGAUUGACCUAAACCUAUUUACAUAUUAUAGUAAUCCUCAUCACUUACUGUAACAUGUUAGUUACAUGAAUGUGUUUUGUGUAUGUCACUGUAUAAAAAUGUAUCUUAAGUUCUUUGUAGGCUAGUCUGUGUUUGUCGGUUGACAGUACCACCUGUCCUCCUUAGCUGAGUGUCUGCCUGAGGUUAGUCCCAGCAUACUGGCAAUAAUCCAUGAACUUGGCGUCAAAACAAUAGGUAUGUUGUACACACCUACACAAUACACACACUUACACAAUACACACAUCUACCAGAAUACACACAUCCACCUAUUCCUAUUCUAACUGAUUUCCUCUAUGCAUUUGUAAAUCUUUGUGUCUGUGAGGUGUGUCUGUGUGUGUGUUUUUUCUCUACUGUCCUCAUGCACUGCUGGUAUCUUUGCGCCACUCUAAUGAUCUUAAAGUAAUCCUUGACUGAUGAGAUUACAGAACACAGUGUGAUAAGGUAUGUAGAGGAGAGACUGAGCAUCACUAUAACAGAUCCACUCAGUGCAAACAGGACAACUACAAAAUGGCUACACUUGACCCAUGAGACCAAUGGGAGAAAAGGGAAAGCCAGUGUGUUAACCCAACAACACGACAAAUGUGAAGCAGAAGUCUAAAGGAUCAGAGGUAUAUAUUGAAAGAGCAGCCUUUUUUAUUGCUUUUGAUGGAAAUUAAAUUGGUUUAUUGAA
Oncorhynchus tshawytscha (Chinook salmon) is the source of this 1495-nucleotide long non-coding RNA. RefSeq lists it as uncharacterized. NCBI's taxonomy places the organism in Eukaryota, Metazoa, Chordata, Actinopteri, Salmoniformes, Salmonidae. The transcript has 3 exons. The record is from RefSeq and is a predicted model, not a curated record.